AGAGUUUGAUCCUGGCUCAGGACGAACGCUGGCGGUAUGCCUAAUACAUGCAAGUCGAACGCUGAAGCACUCUGCUUGCAGAGUGUGGAUGAGUGGCGAACGGGUGAGUAACACGUGGGUAACCUGCCCAUAAGAGGGGGAUAACAUCCGGAAACGGGUGCUAAUACCGCAUAGGUGAACGGAGCGCAUGCUCUGUUCAUUAAAGAUGGCCUUGUGCUAUCGCUUAUGGAUGGACCCGCGGCGUAUUAGCUAGUUGGUGAGGUAAUGGCUCACCAAGGCGAUGAUACGUAGCCGACCUGAGAGGGUGAUCGGCCACACUGGGACUGAGACACGGCCCAGACUCCUACGGGAGGCAGCAGUAGGGAAUCUUCCACAAUGGGCGAAAGCCUGAUGGAGCAAUACCGCGUGAGUGAAGAAGGUCUUCGGAUCGUAAAGCUCUGUUGUUAGAGAAGAACACGCAGAACAGUAACUGGUUCUGCGCUGACGGUAUCUAACCAGAAG
This 501-nucleotide ribosomal RNA is filed under the name uncultured Bacillota bacterium. Its description in RNAcentral is "bacterial SSU rRNA". It matches the Rfam family "Bacterial small subunit ribosomal RNA", at positions 8 to 489 of the family's 1533-position model. Lineage: Bacteria; Bacillati; Bacillota. The record is from RNAcentral.